RNAcentral lists this unclassified non-coding RNA (391 nucleotides) under soil metagenome. Its description in RNAcentral is "partial contains 5.8S ribosomal RNA, internal transcribed spacer 2, and large subunit ribosomal RNA". The stretch from base 1 to 122 matches the Rfam family "5.8S ribosomal RNA", at positions 35 to 154 of the family's 154-position model. The record is from RNAcentral.
GAUGAAGAACGUAGCGAAAUGCGAUACUUGGUGUGAAUUGCAGAAUCCCGCGAAUCAUCGAGUUUUUGAACGCAAGUUGCGCCCGAAGCCAUUCGGCCGAGGGCACGUCUGCCUGGGUGUCACGCAUCGUUGCCCCCCCAAACUCCGGUUCGGGCAGGGCGGAAGUUGGCCUCCCGUGCGUGCCUGCGCGCGCGGUUAGCCCAAAAGCGAGUCCUCGGCGACGAGCGCCACGACAAUCGGUGGUUUUUUUACCCUCGUUCCUCGUCGUGCGUGCCCCGUCGCCCGAACGCGCUCUUGCGACCCUUACGCGUCGCCUCGGCGGCGCUCCCAACGCGACCCCAGGUCAGGCGGGACUACCCGCUGAGUUUAAGCAUAUCAAUAAGCGGGAGGA